GACGAGCGCUGGCGGCGUGCUUAACACAUGCAAGUCGAACGGAAAGGCCCUGCUUUUGUGGGGUGCUCGAGUGGCGAACGGGUGAGUAACACGUGAGUAACCUGCCCUUGACUUUGGGAUAACUUCAGGAAACUGGGGCUAAUACCGGAUAGGAGCUCCUGCUGCAUGGUGGGGGUUGGAAAGUUUCGGCGGUUGGGGAUGGACUCGCGGCUUAUCAGCUUGUUGGUGGGGUAGUGGCUUACCAAGGCUUUGACGGGUAGCCGGCCUGAGAGGGUGACCGGCCACAUUGGGACUGAGAUACGGCCCAGACUCCUACGGGAGGCAGCAGUGGGGAAUAUUGCACAAUGGGCGGAAGCCUGAUGCAGCAACGCCGCGUGCGGGAUGACGGCCUUCGGGUUGUAAACCGCUUCCGCCUGUGACGAAGCGUGAGUGACGGUAAUGGGUAAAGAAGCACCGGCUAACUACGUG
Molecule: ribosomal RNA, 468 nt
Filed under: uncultured bacterium
Lineage: Bacteria
Description: partial 16S ribosomal RNA
Rfam family: Bacterial small subunit ribosomal RNA
Source: RNAcentral